This 687-nucleotide ribosomal RNA is filed under the name Triticum aestivum (bread wheat). RNAcentral's name for it is "partial small subunit ribosomal RNA". Lineage: Eukaryota; Viridiplantae; Streptophyta; Magnoliopsida; Poales; Poaceae. The record is from RNAcentral.
AUGUACCAUUUAACUGGAAUUAACCGAUGCAAGUCCAAGAAGGAUUGGCCGAUGCUUCCGGCUGGCUUCAAGUUCGAACCCACGGAUCAGGAGCUGAUCGAGCACCUUGAGGCCCAAGUGAGUACUGACAGCGCGAGAUCUCACCCUCUCAUCGAUUUGUUCAUACCAACCAUCGACAGCGAGCACGACAUAUGUUCCACCCAUUCUGAGAAACUUCCAGGUAUCACACUAAGUGGCCUAAGGAAGCAUUUCUUCCAGCACAACUCCAGGGCGUUCAAAAGGGGCACACAGAAGCGUCGCAAGAUACAGUCGGAGUGUGAUGCGAUGUGGCACAAGACCGGCAAUACCUUGCCGAACUUCGACCAGCAGAGGACUAACUGGGUGAUGCACCAGUACCACCUCGGGGACCUCGAGCAAGGGAAGGAGCGGGAGCUGGUCAUAUGCAAGAUUUUCUACCAGACCAACACUAGGGCCAGGACUAAAAAGAUUAUAAGUUACUUUGGUAUUGGUAUACUUGUACUACCUGGUCGUCUGCAAGUUGGUAUUGUUGUUAAGGAUCUUUCGCUCUCCAAAAAAAAUUACAUCUUCGAAGUACGCACAGGAUCCAUCCGAUUUGACAGGCUGAUAGUUGGACGCAUCAUGUCAGAACUGGGUUGUGGCUUGCCAAGCCCAGCUGCAAAUUGUUAA